Long non-coding RNA from Suricata suricatta (meerkat), 540 nucleotides. RefSeq lists it as uncharacterized. The transcript is spliced from 5 exons. Lineage: Eukaryota; Metazoa; Chordata; Mammalia; Carnivora; Herpestidae. The record is from RefSeq and is a predicted model, not a curated record.
UCUCCCCCCUCUUUACCACAUUCUGAAAAUCAGGUUUUCCCAUGGGGCCCUGCUGUAUAAGCCCUCACAACCAUGGCUAAUGAACUGGAGUCCACCAGAUCAGUCCGGGUCCAUGAUAAACUGAGAUCAGGGGGUGAGGCCGAAAGUUCCAACGCUCUAAUCAUGAUUGGUUCUUCUUGCAACUAUCCCCCCGUCCUUAGACAUCAAUAAUGGGAAAGGAAGGAGUGGUGGAAGCUCUUAAGGAUCAAAGAAUUUUCCUGGUUCUUCAAUGUCUAGAACAAGGUGGACACAAUUAUUUGCUGAGUGAGUGAAUGGAUAAAUGAACAACAUAUACGUGGAAAUCUAGGAAGAAUUGAAGGAGACGGGCUACUUUGGGGGAUGACUUGCACAGAAGGAAGCAAGUGCUUGUUCUGCCAGCUCCAUCUGUGGUCAGACUAUAGUUACCCAAGAAUAUGAGUAUCUGUUUUGUACAGGAUUACAGACUACGCAAUGGUGUUCCUAUUAGAUGAAGUCUGGGAGUGUUUGAAGAUAUUCCACUAU